Molecule: non-coding RNA, 1305 nt
Organism: Drosophila virilis
Lineage: Eukaryota; Metazoa; Arthropoda; Insecta; Diptera; Drosophilidae
Source: RefSeq, a predicted model, not a curated record
AUUUUCUAUAGUUUCAGACUUUGAAUGGUUUAUUUUCCUGGCUCUGAGCUCCGAAGAUGCUUGCCACUUCAAUUUUAAAAGGAGCAGGAAGAUAAAAAAGUUGUCAGUUUUGCAAAAAAACAAAAAAGAAAAGAUGCCUUCCGUAUCCGGGAAAUUGAUUAAUGGGCAUCCCAGGCCGUUUAACAAUUAUCCUUGAGGAAUCCCCGAAUUGCAGCAGAAGACAAAUAAAAGGACACAUUGCGCAUUAUAGAAAGUAACUCGUAAUGCUUCCUUUGCAGUUGCAAGUUUCAGACUUUGAAUGGUUUAUUUUCCUGGCUCUACGCUCCGAAGAUGCUCGCCACUUCAAUUUUAAUAGGAGCAGGAAGAUAAAAAAGUGUGUAAGGCCAUGUGAUUUAUUAAGAGGACAACUAAUUUUGGCGACGCAUAUGCUAUAAAGGCAGAUGGUCGCAUACGGGAUAGAUAUCCAAAGCCGUUCAACAAUUAUCCUCAAGUGUAAGGCCAUGUGAUUUAUUAAGAGGACAACUAAUUUUGGCGAUGCAUAUGAUACAAAGGCAGAUGGUCGCAUACGGGAUAGAUAUCCAAAGCCGUUCAACAAUUAUCCUCAAGUGUAAGGCCAUGUGAUUUAUUAAGAGGACAACUAAUUUUGGCGAUGCAUAUGAUACAAAGGCAGAUGGUCGCAUACGGGAUAGAUAUCCAAAGCCGUUCAACAAUUAUCCUCAAGUGUAAGGCCAUGUGAUUUAUUAAGAGGACAACUAAUUUUGGCGAUGCAUAUGCUACAAAGAUGACCUGACCGUGGACAGGAAAUUAAUUGAUAGAUAUACCAGGCCGUUAAACAUUUAUCGUCAAGUGUAAGGCCAUGUGAUUUAUUAAGAGGACAACUAAUUUUGGCGAUGCAUAUGAUACAAAGGCAGAUGUACGUGUACAAGAUGGAUAUUCAAAGCCGUUCAACAAGUAUAUGGCAAUGUGAAUGACUAAGAGGACGACUAAUUUUGGCGACGCAUUUACUUCAAAGUGUGAAACCUAUAGAACCAUUUUUCUUUUCUUAAUUGGGGUAGAGCUAAAUCUAGCAAAAAUAAUUACCUCUUCCCGAUAUUGUUUCCCUAAUCAAAGUUAAGUUAAUUUAAAAUAUGGGCAGCCUGCGAUGUUUGAUCUACCAGGAAGGGAAAUGUUCCUUCACCUACGCAAUAUAAAGAUUUCCUAGUUAUUCUUAUACUAUAUAACUGAUUUUUUAUUAAUACAUUUAUAGUAACACAUGAUUUUAAACGGAAAAUUAAAUAAAUAAUUCUUUCAAAUAUUUCUACCGUA